This is a long non-coding RNA of Lepus europaeus (European hare), 667 nucleotides long. RefSeq lists it as uncharacterized. NCBI's taxonomy places the organism in Eukaryota, Metazoa, Chordata, Mammalia, Lagomorpha, Leporidae. The transcript is spliced from 3 exons. The record is from RefSeq and is a predicted model, not a curated record.
CUCCCGGCGCGUGACGCGGCUGGGUCCCAACUUGCCUGAGGGCCGGGAGCAACUGCCUCAGUGGGCCGGGAGCUUCUGAAUGUCCUUGAGCCCCGUGAGAAAGUCGCCAACACGCAACAGCCGCCGGUGUUGUCCCAUGAUGCUUUCAUGGCUUUGUGGAAGACCAAGAGUGUUUGAAGAGAGGCAAGGAGGAGUCUUUGGCUAAGUUCAAAAAUGGAAACGGAACUGAAUGAUGAUUUGAGUGACGUAUGGAAAGUAGGUUAGUUUGAGCAGGAGAACAAGCAAAACUGAAUUACACACCCCAUCUCUCCAAGAGAAGCAUCUUGAGGCCAGAGAUGUGGUUUCAUAACACUGCCUGCAGCCCCAGGUGUGUGGCACCCAGGAAAGACCAUUGCAGAAUGGUAAUGUUUCAUACCUUGGAGCAACACAGAACAUUCUGCCUGCCAGUGCCUACUUAUUAUUUCCACUCCGAGCCAAAAAGCCGCCUCUGUAGACGAAAGAACUUUUGGGAACCUUUGCCCCUGUGGGCAGAUUCUUCAUGUGAGAGACACAGCUGCUUCCUUCAGUUCAGGAUAUUACCAAAACUGCUACCAAAGUUCCCAUACCAGUUGGCAAUCAAAUAAACAAAAAGAUGAAGCAAGAAAACUGAAUCAGACAAUAAAAACAA